AUAAUCAUGUACUCAAAAGGGAUUAACAACAUACUGGGGUCAAGCACAACUCUAAUCCUCAAUAACAUCAUUACAUUACAUAACUGUUUAAUACUAUUCAUUACAUUUCAAUAUUUAUCAUGUCCACCACUAGCUAUUACACAACCAUGACUUUACUCUAGCUGACCUCCUGGUCUAUCCCGUACCUGCAUACCUGGGGAUUAGGUAAAUGGGGUGAGCUACUAGAACCCAGUGAGUAGAAACAUAAAACAUCAUAUAUAAAACAUAUGCAUCUAUGGAAUGCAUCACAACACAAACAUGUCAUAUCAAGGAUGGACUUGUCACCAAUAGCCCUCUACAUAGCCAAUCGUGCCAGAAUGUAGAAUGGGUCAUGGUCUUUCACUUAAACAUAACAUUCCAAAGUGCCAGAACGUAAAAUGGGUCAUGGUCUUUCUCUUACAUAGUGCCAGCGAACGUAGAAUGGGUCACACUGGUCUUUUAUUCCGUACCGUACAUAUCAUAUCCUCACAUCAUAGAUCGAGGGCUAUGGAUCAUCCAAUAUCCAUCCGCACCAACAUAAUCAUAUGCAAUGCAACAUAUUCGUGAAUUCUAGUGCAAACAACCUAUUAUAUAACAUGGCAAUUAUGAUGCAUGAAUCAUGCCAAAACCUUCAUUAUUUGCUUAAAAACAUAAAGAGUCAUUCUACUCACCUUUGGCUAGCUCUGACAAGACUCUGAAGCAGUUGUCUCACUGCUGGGGUCCUCGGUUCCUCGGGUCCGAAUCUACACAGGUGGACUCAAAUGAGGGACCAACAUCCAUGAACAUGACUCUAAAAUACUCCCCAAAAACCCCCUAAAACACCUUAAAACAAUCACAUAAAUCAUGCAAAGGAAGGCUGAAUAGGGCACUUUCGGCGGCCGAAAGUCCCUCCAGAGCCGAAAGUCAUGCACCUUCGGCGGCACUUUCGGCGGCCGAAGGUUCCCUCUAGAGACGAAACUCAUGCAUGUUCGGCGGUACCUUCGGCGGCCGAAUCUCCCAUCCAGAGCCGAAAGUCCACUUUCGGGGGCAGGGUUCGGCAGCCAAAGGCUGGCCUCCACAGGCAGGUUCGGCGGCCGAAAGAGCCUUCGGCUGCCGAACCUGAGUUCUUUCCAAGGGCAGAACUCAGCCUCUUUCAUGCAUAAAAACCUCCCAGACCAUUCACACAUGCAUUUACCUAUUCUACAACAAGCAAACUCAAGCCAACAAGCAUAUAGGGGUCUCAACUAACUUAAACCCCAACCAAAAUACAUCAAACAACCCACAUUGCUCAUAAACAUAACAUAAACCCAUAAACUCAACAAUAACCUAAACAUGCAUUUCUACCCCAUAGAUCUUCAUAAAACUUGUUUAAAACAUACAAGGAAGGUUGGAUCUAAGCUUACCUCUUGAAGAUCGAGAGGAAAGACGAUCCUAGCUUGGAGAUGGGGAGAAAUCAACUUUUUGGUCUCCAAGCUUCCAAAACUUGCUCUUUUGCUCAAAUAUCUUCAAACCAAGUGAAAACUCUUAAGAAAAUCAUGAAGAUUCGAAGGAAGAAGCUCAAAAUCGAUGAGGGACGGCGGAGAACUCACCUUGGCCGAAAACGGAGAGAAAAGCUCACCCGUUCGGACAUGAGGACCCCUUUAUAGGUGGCUGGCCAGGCCACUUUCGGGGGCCUAACGUGCCUCCGCAUGCAUGCCAUGUUCGGCGGCCGAACAUAAGGUUCGACGGCCGAACCUGGACUUCCCUCACUCAUGCCUUCAGGGGCCUAAAGCAUUCCCGAAAUGCAUGCAUGUUCGGCAGCCGAACUUGAGGUUCGGCAGCCGAACCUGGGUCUUCCUCCAAUGUUAUUUUCAUACAAAACUCAUUUUCUUUCUUGCUUAAAACCAUAAAAUACAUUAAAACAUUUUAUGAAAACAUGGUUUUACCUUUCUAGAGGUUUUCGACAUCCGAGAUUCCACCGGACGGUAGGAAUUCCGAUACCGAAGUCUAGCCGGGUAUUACAAUCUAAGGCUAACUGCUCCAUAUCAUUCCCUUCCACUUAUAAAAAACUUGAUCUCGAGUUGUCAUUAGUAGGAUAAUAUUGAAAUAGAUCCGCAACGUUAAACGUUUUGAAAAUUUUCAUAUGAUCUUGGAGGCCAAAAAUAUAGGUAUUGUCAUUAAUCUUCUGAAUGAUCUGGAAUGGACCAUGUCCUCCACCACGUUCUUUACGCAAAUACACCAUAACUUGAUCACCGAUAUUGAAGGACUUGAAACGCCUAUAUUUAUCAGCUACAGCUUUAUACUUAUUAUUGGCUUCCGUAAGGUAUUGUUGUACCUAUUUGAAAAAGUCCACUCAUUGAUUUACCAGGUUAGUUGCUGCAAUACUGUUAUGAAAGCUUGUAGGAAGGGCAAUAAGGUCAACCGUAUGCGCAGAAAUUUUUCUGUAUACAACUGCAAAAGUGACAUCUUUGUAGAGCUGUGAACAGAACUGUUGUAAGUAAAUUCUGCUUGGGCAAGAGCAAGAUACCAAGCAAUUUUUUUAUAACUGCAGAUGUAACGUAGAAGAUUGCCAAAAGUGCAGUUCACCACUUUAGUUUGGCCAUCAGUUUGGGGAUGGGCAACACUACUCUAUCAAAGUUUAGUCCCAAAACACUUCCAUAAAGUCACCCAUAAGUGAGCUAAGAACUUCAUAUCUUUGUUAGAAAUAAUGGUCUUAGGAAUGUCAUGCAAACGAACAACUUUCUGGAAAAAUAAUUUUGCAAUAUAAGAAACACCAUUAGUUUUAUUGCAAGGAAUAAAAUGUGCCAUUUUGGAAAACCUAUCAACAACAAAAAUAGAAUCAGAUCCACAUUGAGUAUGUGGAAAGACAAGAACAAAAUCAUAGACUAGUCCUCCUAAGGAUAUUCUAGAAUAGGCAAUGGAAUGUAUAAGCCUAUAUUCUACGAAUGACCCUUCUGAGUUUGACAAAUUGCGUAUUUUUGGACCACCCGACCUGUAUCUUUUUUCAAUUGUGGCUAAUAAAAAUGCUCCUCUAAACCGGCAGUAGUCUUAUCACACCCCAAAUAACCACUCAAACCUCCGCCAUGGAUCUCUCGAAUUAAUUUUUUCCGCAGAGAAAAGCGAGGAAUGCAUAACCUGUUCUCCUUAAAAAGAAAUCCAUCAUGUAUCAAAAAUCCAUCAGCAAGUUGGCAAGCCUGGACCUUCGCCUAUAUAUCAGCAAAAUCACCAUCUGCAUCAUACAAAUCCUUUAGAAAUUCAAAACCUACAACCCUCUAACUAACCAUAAUCAACAAACCUACGUAAAGCAUCUACUACCAUAUUACUAUGGUCAGCCUUAUAUUUUAUGACAUAAUGAAAAGCUCCAAAAUAAGUUGCCCAUCGAGUAUGCAUCUUAUUCACAUGUUUUUGAGUUUUAAAGUGAAUCAAAGAUUGAUGAUCUGUGAGAAUAAUAAACUCCCGCCUCAUCAGAUACUGUUCCUAAGUUUUAAAGACCCGAAACACUGCAUAUAAUUUCUGCUCAUAAGUAAACUACUUCUUCCUAGCAUCAUUCAAUUUAUCACUAAAGAAGGCAAUAGGCCUAUUAGAUUGCGAUAACACACCGCCAAUCCCAACUCCACAAACAUCACAUUCAACCUUAAACAGUUUAUCAAAAUUAGGUAGAGCAAGAAUAGGGCAGAAGUAAGCUUAUCUUUAAUCUCCUCAAAACUCUUAUUCCAAGUGUCAGUCCAAGUAAAUUUCUGCACUCUCUCUUUCAAACAAUCUGUGAUAGGGGCAACAAUACUACUGAAAUUUCUAAAAAACUGCCGAUAGAAAGUAAUAAGUCCAUGAAAGCUGCAAACUUCUAAAAUAUUUUUAGGAAUGGGCCAGUUCUGUAUUGCUUCUACCUUCUUCUCACCAACAUGUAUCACUAUUGCACUAACAACAAAUCCAAGAAAUAGAAUAUGCUCCGUCAUAUAGAUGCAUUUCUCCACCAAUUGCUUAACUAUCAGAUUCUCACAACUGCAACUAUCUAUAAUUAGUCUGCAAAUCGCUUCUCCCACUCGACAUUUUUCCUAGAAAAUCUUCUUUCUUUGCUUCUCAUCCUCCUGUUUCCUUGAGCAUAAAAUUUUCUUCACUACAUAGGUGAUCUUUCCAUCUUCAGAACCAGUAAUAGACCCAUCAACUUCGUUCACUUCCUCCUCAGAUUCAAUCAACUCCUCAACCACAUUAAUCUAUCGACGAUCAUUAUUAACUCCUAUGCAUUCUAAACAAUUAUUUGGUCGAUGUCCAAGUUGUCUGCAAUGAUAACAUAUGUCUCCGGUUAGUUUCUAAUAAAGAUUGGUCUUACCUCCUUUGUCUGUUGUAUUGAUUACUGCCCUUCCCUUAUUUUCUCUUCUUAAUUUCACAGUAUUCUGAUGAUUGCUAGAAUUUACAACUCUAGAAGGCUAUCCGCUGUAAUUACCUCUAUACUAUUAAGUUGUUGUCGAACCAGAAUUUCAGUAAUUAAAAUUUCAAUUAGAAGGUUGUCGAGGCUACCAUUCAACACAUUAUUUCGCUCUUUUCGCCAUCUCAAUGGCAUCUGCUAAAGUGAAAAUCGCAGCUACUCUCAUCAUACAAUGAAUUUUGUGAUUCAGUCCCCUCUGAUAAUGAGCAACUUGUUGGGUUUCGUUCUCACAGUUAUCGCACCUCGCCUACAACCUCAAAAACUCCUUUGUAUAUUCAUCCACCCUCCGGCUCCAUUGAAUACAGUCAUGAUACCAGUUAUACAAAACCCAGGCAUGAUCACUAGGCAAAAAUCAAUGUUCAAUCAUCUGCUUUAUCAAUAGCCAGUUUCAUAUAGGUUCCAAACUCCUGCGAUAGCAUUCGUUUUGAAUAAAAUUCCACCAUGUUGUUGCACUACCCUUUAAUUUGUAAGCCACAAUUGGAACCUUUCGAUCAUCUUCUAUGUUCAUAACUUCAAAAAAUCGAUCAACCUCCGGUAACCAAUGAAGGACAGAUUCUACAUCUAACGAACCAGAAAAGUUUUGAAGGUCUAUCUUUAUCUUGUAACUUUCGUGAUGAUCAUGUUGGGGAUUUGCGACUACAGUAUUUGGAACUGGCUGUGGGCGUUCGGCUAUGGCGGGUUGGUUGUUACCUCGUUGUAGGGCUAGCUAUCCAAUCAUCUUCCUCAAUUUUGCCAAGGAUGCCUCAAUUGCAGCGAGUCGUGCCUUUUGGUUGUUGGCCAUAGAUGAACUUCACUCUGAUACUAACUGAAAUAUGACUAAUUAGACUCCAUCAGGAAUUUUAACCUUGGCUGAGAUGAAAUUUAAAAAAUGAAAAAUUAGAAACCAAAAUUUCUUAUUGAAUUCUUAAAAAUUGAAAAGUGUGUCAAAUAAUCAAGAAAAUGACUAUUUAUAAUAGAAAAACCAUAAUAUAAAGAACUAUGAAAAAUCUAAAAAAAAUAAUUAAAAUGUAAAAUUGACUUCUAAACGAUUAAAUUUUUGUCUCAAACUUUAUGAUAGAUCUACGGCUUUUAUCACACUUUUGAAAAUCAUACGUUUUGAAAUUUUCUUUUCAAAAAACUAUCAUGCGCCUUCAACGAACAACGGCAGCAGAAAUUAACUCCGAUUCAAGUCUGCUACAAAAUCCAAAACUAAUUACUUUGUAUCACCAAUUUGGCUCGAUUAUUAGCCAGGUUGUGACUUCUUUUCCUCAAUCUUAAUGGCGAUAAUAUCGAAAAAACCAUGAUAGUGUUAUGGAAAAAAAUACUUUAAAAUUAGAUCGGAAGGUUAAAUUUAGCCAACCAUACUCCUUUGUGAACUUGUCUUAAGAUAUGUGUGUGCGCGUGCAUGCAAAAUUUCAUAUUUAAUAAUGGAUAGAUAUAUAAUUGGAAUAUAACUUUAUUAUUAACUUUGACAUCUAAUAUUUAUACUUAUAAGUAUAAAUAUUUAAUUUUUAAAUUUUAUAAAAAAUAACUAUUAAAUUUUUAAAUUUUAUAAAAUGUCUGUUCAAGAACGAGAGAGAGAGAGAAAACAUUCUGGUUUUAUUUCAAAUGGAAAGAAAAAAUGUCGUUACAUCACAUUUCUGGAAGCUUGUAUCUUCCUUAUAAGACAAAAGACCAGCUCGUGCACAUCAUGUGCAAGAGACCAAAAAAACAGUCCUAAAACGACACUGUAUAAACAACAUACAUAACCAAAGUGAAACUAACAGAAAACGAUGUAGUUUUGACAUGUCACUAUUUAACUCAUAAACAUUCAUAUUAUAUAUAAUUUAAUUCGAGUAUAGAAACUGAAUAGUUAUAUUUUUAUAAAAGUAAAGUAUCAAAAGUUAAUAAUUAAAAAAUUAGAAUAUGGACUGAUAUUUUACAUAAAAGUUAGGGAUUAAAUUAUAUAUUUAGUCUUAAUAAUUAAAUAUUUAAUUUCAUUAAAAAUAAACAUAAUUGUAUUAGAACGCUAAUGAAAGGUUUAUUUUAACCUUACAACUUAGGUCUAAUAGUCAUAUUGGUCAUUUAUAAAUUUUUGCAGUCAAAUAAAUUCCUCAAAUUUCUAAUUAAAUUAGUGAAACUAGAUAUCUAAUUCUAUAAAGUUCAUAAAAGUAAUUAUUUAAUAUGUAUUAUCUCUAAAUUAUAAAAUUCUAGGUUUUUAUCAUUCAAAAUUAAAUUUUAAUUUACCAAAAUUAAUCAUAGAUUCAAAAUUAAUUAUCUACAUGCAUACGCUAUAUAACCAAUAAAAUAAAUAAUGUAAAUAUAAAAUAACAAAGAAAUUAAAGGGAUUUACAUGUUUUUGCAGUAUUUAGCUCUUUCAUUUUACGAGAAAAGUAGUCGGUGAAUGCGUUACAAGGGAGUUUAAAUGUCAUUUAAUCGUAAUUUUAAUUUCAUGGCAUUAUAAAAGUAUUGUAUUACUUACCAUAAAAUAUUAAUUAUGCAUAGGGGUGAGCAUUUGGUCGGUUCGGUUUAAAAUUAAAUCAAACCGAAUAAAUCGAAAAUUGAAAUUUUAAUAUUUAUGAAAAUCAAACCGAACCGAUUUUGAUCAGGAACCGAAUCAAACCAAACCGGUCUGAUUCGGUUCGAUUCGGUUCGGUUUGAUCCGUUUCGAUUUUUAAUAAUUUUUUAUUUUUUACACUUUAUUUUUAAUAUUGUAAAAUUUAAUUAAAAUAUUUUAAUUUUAAUAUAAUUUAAUUUCUCUAUAUUAUUAAAAAUAAUAUAUUAUUAUCACUAAUCGGUUCGGUUCAGUUUUUUCGAUUUUUUUUUAUUAAAACCGAACCGAACUGAAAUAACUGAAAUUUUUAAAAUUAAAAAUCGAAUCGAGCCAAAUUGAAUAAAAAACCGAAUCGAAUUUUAAAAUUAAUUCGAUUCGAUCAAUCUUUUCAGUUUGAACCGAAUACUACUUAUCCCUAAUUAUGCAUACAAAAUAUAAAUUUUAUGUGAAAAUAAAUUUUUAAAAAAUAAACCAUUUAAAUAAAACAAAAUCUUGUUAAAAAGUAAGCAUUCCAAUAAAAGGCUAUAGCACACAUACUUUUUUUUUUUUUUUUAUGAUGUUGGGAUUUAUGGGUAUGCUUAAUUGCAUCAAACAAAAAAGUUCCAAUUGAGUGGCUCAUAAGCUACUUUUCUCUCUUAUGGAUAACUUGUGAAGUACACUAAGUUCAGUAUUUAAGGAGUAUAAAACUUUAUAAUAUAUUAUUAAAUGGAGUGGGACAUCUCCACCCACACCAAAUCUCUUCCAAGUUAAUAAUAAUUUAUUUAUUUAUUUAAUUAUUUACUCACACCUUGUGUAGAAGCAUCUUCUUAUGUUUGACAAAAGGAAAGAAUUAUUAUUAUUAUUAUUAUUACUAUUAUUCCAUCGAUUAUUAUUAAUAUUGAUUGUUGGUAGCGAAAUAUUAAGUGACAAUUUAAGUCUUGUAAAUACGAUGUUUGUAAUUUAUAAAAAUUCAAAAAUAAAAAAUCAACAGAACAAUCCCUACUCGCCUGAAUCUCACUGACCCUUGCUGCACACUAUCGAUUGUUGCUCAUAAUCCGUGCUGCUCCCAUCGUCGACCGAUCUAUCGUUUCUUUCGUCGGCGCAUUGCUUUCCGUUUCUUGAUGCUCCCGUUGCCUAUCUUUCCCACGAUAGCGUCGCUCUGGAAUUGAUUGUUGUUGUCGUUGCCUGUCGAUUCGUUAUCUGUUGCCCUGGUUCCUCACGUCAUCUGCCGCUCUGGUGCACGCCACUCGCUGCUGCUACUAUAUCUAUGCUGUUUGUGAAGGAGAAAAUAUUUGUGAUGGAAAGAAGAUGAAAAAAUUUUAAAAAUUUGAAAGGUAGAGUAAUUUUUAAGUAUUUUUAAA
Molecule: long non-coding RNA, 8251 nt
Filed under: Manihot esculenta (cassava)
Lineage: Eukaryota; Viridiplantae; Streptophyta; Magnoliopsida; Malpighiales; Euphorbiaceae
Description: long non-coding RNA (MESC_LNC005853)
Source: RNAcentral